Molecule: ribosomal RNA, 494 nt
Filed under: Aspergillus sp. FLS-2010
Lineage: Eukaryota; Fungi; Ascomycota; Eurotiomycetes; Eurotiales; Aspergillaceae
Also listed under: 1 other name
Description: eukaryotic LSU rRNA
Rfam family: 5.8S ribosomal RNA (bases 176-329)
Source: RNAcentral
UAGGUGGAACCUGCGGAGGGAUCAUUACCGAGUUUACAACUCCCAAACCCCUGUGAACAUACCAAUUGUUGCCUCGGCGGAUCAGCCCGCUCCCGGUAAAACGGGACGGCCCGCCAGAGGACCCCUAAACUCUGUUUCUAUAUGUAACUUCUGAGUAAAACCAUAAAUAAAUCAAAACUUUCAACAACGGAUCUCUUGGUUCUGGCAUCGAUGAAGAACGCAGCAAAAUGCGAUAAGUAAUGUGAAUUGCAGAAUUCAGUGAAUCAUCGAAUCUUUGAACGCACAUUGCGCCCGCCAGUAUUCUGGCGGGCAUGCCUGUUCGAGCGUCAUUUCAACCCUCAAGCCCAGCUUGGUGUUGGGACUCGCGAGUCAAAUCGCGUUCCCCAAAUUGAUUGGCGGUCACGUCGAGCUUCCAUAGCGUAGUAGUAAAACCCUCGUUACUGGUAAUCGUCGCGGCCACGCCGUUAAACCCCAACUUCUGAAUGUUGACCUCG